UACAUUUUAGUGUAUGAUGCACGGAAAUUUUUGAUAUUUCAAGGGAUAGUUUAAAUCUAUAAUAUGUAA
This 69-nucleotide transfer RNA is filed under the name Rhabdoblatta marginata. RNAcentral's name for it is "tRNA-Gln". The record is from RNAcentral. Lineage: Eukaryota; Metazoa; Arthropoda; Insecta; Blattodea; Blaberidae.